GCACUGCUGAAGAGUCCAAAAGUAGGACUAAACGGCUGUCCAGUGU
Molecule: non-coding RNA, 46 nt
Filed under: Schistosoma mattheei
Lineage: Eukaryota; Metazoa; Platyhelminthes; Trematoda; Strigeidida; Schistosomatidae
Source: RNAcentral